GACGAACGCUGGCGGCGUGCCUAAUACAUGCAAGUAGAACGCAGUUGCGAACGGGUGAGUAAAGCGUCGGUAACUGCCCCAAAGCGGGGGAAAAAUAUUGGAAACGGUAGCUAAAUCCGCAUACUGGGAGAUGGACCUGCGUUGUAUUUGCUAGUUGGUGAGGUUAAGGCUCACCAAGGCGACGAUACAUAGCCUACCUGAGAGGGUGAACGGCCACCCUGGGACUGAGACACGGCCCAGACUCCUUAGGGGAGGAGGAGUAGGGAAUCUUCGGCAAUGGACGGAAGUCUUACCGCGCAACGCCGCGUGAGUGAAGAAGGUUUUCGGAUCUUAAAGCUCUGUUGUGAGAGGAGCGGUAACUAACCAGAAAGGGACGGCUAACUACGUGCCAGCAGCCGCGGUAAUUC
RNAcentral lists this ribosomal RNA (407 nucleotides) under uncultured bacterium. RNAcentral describes it as "partial 16S ribosomal RNA". It matches the Rfam family "Bacterial small subunit ribosomal RNA", at positions 28 to 526 of the family's 1533-position model. The record is from RNAcentral.